RNAcentral lists this long non-coding RNA (1233 nucleotides) under Homo sapiens (human). RNAcentral's name for it is "HSALNT0016516". Lineage: Eukaryota; Metazoa; Chordata; Mammalia; Primates; Hominidae. The record is from RNAcentral.
GGCAUUUUUGCAGCCAGGCAUUGGGGCUGCAUAAAUGGUUUCUUAAAAAUCCUUUCCCAAAAGGCAAAGCUGGUUUGCUGGAAUUGUUGGGGAAUGUAUUAGAAUGGGAAUUCAGAAUGUGGUUUGCUGCAGAAUUUACAGCAUGGCAAUAAAGGCUCUCUGUGUUCAGGGGGUGAGAGAAGAGACUAGAUGCAUUGUGUCAGAUGUCUCCCGACUUCCUGAGAAAUGCCACUUUGCAAAUACUGGGGCUGCUUUUCACACUGGCCAAGUCAGUUUAUGACAAAAACAUGAGGCAAUUAGGUGUGUUUUGGACACUAACCAGAGAAAGUCCUUCCUUCCCUCCCUUCCUCCCUCCCUCCUUCCCUCCCUCUCUCCCUUCCUGCCUUCCUUCCUUCCCCCUUCCCUCCCUCCCUUUCUCCCUCCCUAAGCUCCCUCCCUGCCUCUCUUUUUCUCUCUCAUGUUACUUUCUCUUUCUGUCUUCCUUUUUAAUGCCAUGGAGUACUAUAUUCUUCAAAGUUCCAACAAAGAUGCACUACAUUUGGACAAUGUGGAAAUGGCCCUCAGCCUUCUCUUCCUGAUGUGCCAAUUCCACUGAUCCUGUGAAGGCUGCCCAAUUUGAGCCACCUGGACGUCAAAUGAUUGCCAUCAGAAAGAGACAACCUGAAGAAACCAACAAUGACUAUGAAACAGCUGACGGCGGCUACAUGACUCUGAACCCCAGGGCACCUACUGACGAUGAUAAAAACAUCUACCUGACUCUUCCUCCCAACGACCAUGUCAACAGUAAUAACUAAAGAGUAACGUUAUGCCAUGUGGUCACACUCUCAGCUUGCUGAGUGGAUGACAAAAAGAGGGGAAUUGUUAAAGGAAAAUUUAAAUGGAGACUGGAAAAAUUCCUGAGCAAACAAAACCACCUGGCCCUUAGAAAUAGCUUUAACUUUGCUUAAACUACAAACACAAGCAAAACUUCACGGGGUCAUACUACAUACAAGCAUAAGCAAAACUUAACUUGGAUGAUUUCUGGUAAAUGCUUAUGUUAGAAAUAAGACAACCCCAGCCAAUCACAAGCAGCCUACUAACAUAUAAUUAGGUGACUAGGGACUUUCUAAGAAGAUACCUACCCCCAAAAAACAAUUAUGUAAUUGAAAACCCAUCGAUUGCCUUUAUUUUGCUUCCACAUUUUCCCAAUAAAUACUUGCCUGUGACAUUUUGCCACUGGAACACUAAACUUCA